Molecule: long non-coding RNA, 712 nt
Organism: Priapulus caudatus
Lineage: Eukaryota; Metazoa; Priapulida; Priapulimorpha; Priapulimorphida; Priapulidae
Exons: 3
Source: RefSeq, a predicted model, not a curated record
CGCGUGGUGUUGCGUGUAUGUGCGUGUGUGUGCACCAGGUCGUGCUUGUUGUGUGUUUAAGUUCCUUUCGUCAUCCGUGUUCAUGGCAACGCGCAAAUUCUUUGAAUGAUUUAUUUUCUUAUUAUUCCGUGUUAUAUGAUGAUAUCAGGAGUAGAUAAUAGAGACUAUUGUCUAUUAUCUAUAUCAAUGAUCUCUAUUAUCUACUCCUGAUGAUAUCUAUGGCAAAUAAAUACCUAUUCGAGUUCCGAGUGGAACACGCACCUAACACGACGCGGCGCCACGGUCGCGUGGCAUCAACGAAUUUUCUAUCACACGCGUUCCAUCAUGGCUGCUCCCUAUGCGAAACAUCACUGAAAUGCACUCUUAGAUAAAAUAUAGAUGUCUAGGUCAUCUAUCUGUAUCGAGUAUUUCUCUGGUAAUAAACUCGAGUAUCAAAACUCUCACUUUAUAGUCGCCUGAAAUUACAUUAUUGUCACAAGCUCAUCAAAAUGGACGACGACGAUGAUAUUCCAACGUUAUCGCUUGCAGCAUCAAAUGCGUUGAAGGAGUUCUAUGCUGAACAGGCUUUGCUGAAAGCAGCUGUUGCUGAAGACACUUCAUCGCAGCAACUGCGCGUGGAUGAAGACUGGCAACUAAGUCAGUUUUGGUAUGAUGACGAAACAGCUACGACUCUUGCUCAGGAAUGUUUGCAGACGGUCUCACCAGGGGGCAG